This 72-nucleotide transfer RNA is filed under the name Sedimentisphaerales bacterium. RNAcentral's name for it is "tRNA-Thr". It matches the Rfam family "tRNA". From Rfam's summary of the family: Transfer RNA (tRNA) molecules are approximately 80 nucleotides in length. Their secondary structure includes four short double-helical elements and three loops (D, anti-codon, and T loops). Further hydrogen bonds mediate the characteristic L-shaped molecular structure. tRNAs have two regions of fundamental functional importance: the anti-codon, which is responsible for specific mRNA codon recognition, and the 3' end, to which the tRNAs corresponding amino acid is attached (by aminoacyl-tRNA synthetases). tRNAs cope with the degeneracy of the genetic code in two manners: having more than one tRNA (with a specific anti-codon) for a particular amino acid; and 'wobble' base-pairing, i.e. permitting non-standard base-pairing at the 3rd anti-codon position. Lineage: Bacteria; Pseudomonadati; Planctomycetota; Phycisphaerae; Sedimentisphaerales. The record is from RNAcentral.
GCCGAUGUGGCUCAACGGUAGAGCACGGCUUUCGUAAAGCCGGGGUUGUGGGUUCAAUUCCCACCAUCGGCU